UGGCGAACGGGUGAGUAACACGUGGGUGAUCUGCCCUGCACUCUGGGAUAAGCCUGGGAAACUGGGUCUAAUACCGGAUAGGACCAUGCUUUAGUGUGUGUGGUGGAAAGUUUUUUCGGUGUAGGAUGAGCCCGCGGCCUAUCAGCUUGUUGGUAGGGUAAUGGCCUACCAAGGCGGCGACGGGUAGCCGGACGGAGAGGUUGGUCGGCCACAUUGGGACUGAGAUACGGCCCAG
Molecule: ribosomal RNA, 235 nt
Filed under: uncultured Actinomycetales bacterium
Lineage: Bacteria; Bacillati; Actinomycetota; Actinomycetes; Actinomycetales
Description: partial 16S ribosomal RNA
Rfam family: Bacterial small subunit ribosomal RNA
Source: RNAcentral